Molecule: ribosomal RNA, 440 nt
Filed under: uncultured bacterium
Lineage: Bacteria
Description: partial 16S ribosomal RNA
Rfam family: Bacterial small subunit ribosomal RNA
Source: RNAcentral
CCUACGGGUGGCUGCAGUGGGGAAUAUUGCACAAUGGGGGAAACCCUGAUGCAGCGACGCCGCGUGAGUGAAGAAGUAUCUCGGUACGUAAAGCUCUAUCAGCAGGGAAGAAAAUGACGGUACCUGACUAAGAAGCCCCGGCUAACUACGUGCCAGCAGCCGCGGUAAUACGUAGGGGGCAAGCGUUAUCCGGAUUUACUGGGUGUAAAGGGAGCGUAGACGGCAGCACAAGUCUGGAGUGAAAUCCCGGGGCCUAACCCCGGAACUGCUUUGGAAACUGGGCGGCUGGAGUGCAGGAGGGGUAAGCGGAAUUCCUGGUGUAGCGGUGAAAUGCGUAGAUAUUAGGAGGAACACCGGUGGCGAAGGCGGCUUACUGGACUGAAACUGACGUUGAGGCUCGAAAGCGUGGGGAGCAAACAGGAUUAGAUACACUAGUAGUC